This 201-nucleotide ribosomal RNA is filed under the name uncultured bacterium. RNAcentral's name for it is "partial 16S ribosomal RNA". It matches the Rfam family "Bacterial small subunit ribosomal RNA", at positions 1301 to 1500 of the family's 1533-position model. The record is from RNAcentral.
UAGGCUGAAACUCGCCUACCAUAAAGCUGGAGUUACUGUAAUCGCAGAUCAGAAUGCUGCGGUGAAUGCGUUCCCGGGUCUUGUACACACCGCCCGUCACACCACGGAAGUUGGGGCGCCCGAAGCCACUUACCUAACCCUUUUGGGAAGCGAGUGUCGAAGGUGAAAUCAAUAACUGGGGUGAAGUCGUAACAAGGUACC